CCUUAUUGAAGCGGCUUCAUCUUGCUAGCUGCUGAAAAUGGCUUUAACCAUCCCUCUGAACAAAAGCACCCCUAAUAAGACAACAAAAAGCCCAAAGCAAUGGCCCAGCGGCAUCGCGCUCUGGCGCAGAGCGAGCCUGCUAAGGCGGCAGCUUUCUCCUUGCAUGUAAUUAGAUGAAUUAAAAGGACAAAGUGGUUAAUGUAACUGUUGUCCGGGGGGCCCCCAGCCCUUUUCAUCCCAUCCAUUUCAGACAAGAGCCUGUGGCUUUUGCUUCAGCAAUGCGGAGAAGAAUGUUGGCGGGGAGGGAAAUUAACAAGCUUAAUCUAUGAGGAAUCUGCUCCGUGUCAUGGAUGAAAUGUAUCUCGAGCAACGAAAGGCUAGUCAUUCCUGCUUCCCUUUUAUAUGCCUAAUAAAACUUACAAUAAAUUAACUGCAUUUUAGUUUGCAGCCAGGCUCUGUUAAUCAGGGAUGAGGCUUCGGGUAGUCAAGUUACAAGAAGGCUUCAGCGGGUGCAUGUCAGCUAUGCGGUCGGGCGGGUUGGCCCCACUCUCAUUAGCCUGGCUUCCCACGUUGACAUUUCAGGUACGGGUUCACUGUUGGGUUUCGCGUCUUUUGUAACGGGGAGUGAGAAGGAAGGUGUAUGUUAUCCAUCCAAUUCACCUGACUGAGGGGCACUGGGACCCUUGGAGUGAAAUCUCUCCAAGAUAAAUAGAUUCCUUAUAGCUCUUCAUCUAAUUGAUAUCAGGGUGUUUCCUUGAUAACUUUGUGCAUUGUUUAUUUUCUGUGAGUGCCUCCUACUCUUCAUACUGUCCUAUUAGGAAUGCUGCCACCAUGGCAACAUCAAUUUUUCAUGCGGGCCCUUAGUAUCAUUCUCCGUAGAACUUUCGGAUAAUGCUUCCAUGGGGUUCCUUAACCGAGAAACUCCAGAAAAGGCGGUGACAUCAGCAAAAGGGAGCCAACUCCUUCCCCGUCUGCCAUUUUGUACUCUUGGCCUAACGUUGACUCAAAACAGCAACUUGGAGCCUUCCCUGACCUGUUGUAACUACUUGGUUAGUGUAAAGCAGAGAGGAGAAUUAGGAGAGGCAGAUGGCAGAGAGGUCUGCCAUGGAAGAUUCAUGGAUGACAGGAGAGGCUGUGUUCCAGAAUGCAAGGAAGAAGAGCCCAAGGACCGUAGCAAGGCCCUGAUUCUGGGAGACAAGAGAACACGCUGA
Molecule: long non-coding RNA, 1211 nt
Organism: Pan paniscus (pygmy chimpanzee)
Lineage: Eukaryota; Metazoa; Chordata; Mammalia; Primates; Hominidae
Source: Ensembl